CCAGCACACACAAAAAUUGUGCUAGGCCAGAAGGGCUGCUGGUACAGCUCUGGACCUGACUUGGGCAUAGAUUGCCUGUGGAUCCCAGACCUGUCUCUUGGUUUGCUCUUUACCUGUGCAUAGACUGCUUGGCUUCUGACCCUAGACUGCUUUGAUCCUGAUUUUUGUCUGACCCUCUUGGUUUUGAGGAAUGCUUGAAAACGGCUACAGUAACUUGUGAAGCCUCCAGCCUCAGUUCCUCAGCCCAGUUUGAAAAUGGGACAAAUGUCCUCUUUGCCCAACAACUGGCAAUCUCCAUUGACAAUGGUGAUGGCCACAUUAAAACUGAAUCACUUCAGCUUGAGAAACGUGACUGGAUUCCAAGUUAAAGGUCUCUGCUGGUUGAGAAGCUGAGGGAGUCGCCUCCGUCCUUGGAUGACUUCAGCGAAGUCUGUCCUUGCCUCGCCAACAACGGGAGAGAACAUCCCAGGCCACAGAUGUUCUCCAGGCCUCUCAGAAAACCUCAUGCUCCAUUUGCCAAUGAACUAACAACAAACCACCAGAUCCAAAUAUUUUGUUUCAUAGCCAUGAACAAAAAGCACCACUAUCCAUGUUGCUAACGACGUGGGGUUUUAGCAGAUAAAAGCAAACAACCUCUUUUAUAAAGCCCUGUAGAAUCAGACAGAAGGUUCAUGAAAUCCAGCAUCAUGUUUCAGGCAGGGGCUAAACAGAUGCCUCUGAUAGAUUUGGUUUGGUUCACCCUUUAAUGUGAAACAACCAAAUUCGCACUUCCGGAAACAAUACAUGAAUCAAAGUGUGGCCAUCUUUUGAGAAUCUGCACUUCUCUGAAUUUUGCAAUAGUUUUCCAUCCAAAGAUUGUGAACAAAAAUGCAUGUAUUAGGGGAAAGUCUGGAUUAAAAUGUGUAUGUUAGUGAAAAAACAUACUAAAAUGCAUUAUACUCUACUGGGAGGAAUGGCGGAUAUAAAGCAAAUAAUAAAAUA
Rhineura floridana is the source of this 981-nucleotide long non-coding RNA. RefSeq lists it as uncharacterized. The transcript is spliced from 3 exons. NCBI's taxonomy places the organism in Eukaryota, Metazoa, Chordata, Lepidosauria, Squamata, Rhineuridae. The record is from RefSeq and is a predicted model, not a curated record.